CACGGAGUUAGCCGAUGCUUAUUCAUAUGGUACCGUCAUCAAAGUACACGUACUCCUUAUUCUUCCCAUAUAAAAGCAGUUUACAACCCAUAAGGCAUUCUUCCUGCACGCGGCAUGGCUGGUUCAGUCUUUCGACCAUUGACCAAUAUUCCUCACUGCUGCCUCCCGUAGGAGUCUGGUCCCUGUCUCAGUACCAGUGUGGGGGAUCUCCCUCUCAGGACCCCUACCUAUCGUAGCCUUGGGGUGCCGUUACCACUCCAACUAGCUAAUAGGACGCAUGCCCAUCUUUCACCAUCGUAAUUUAAUUAUCAAAUGAUGCCAUCCAAUAAUAUUAUGGGGUAUUAAUCCAAAUUUCUUCGGGCUAUCCCCCUGUGAAAGGUAGGUUGCAUACGCGUUACGCACCCGUGCGCCGGUUUCUGCCCCGAAGGGCUUCUCCCUCGACUUGCAUGUGUUAGGCCUGCCGCUAGCGUUCAUCCUGAGCCAGGAUCAAACUCU
This 495-nucleotide ribosomal RNA is filed under the name uncultured Capnocytophaga sp. Its description in RNAcentral is "partial 16S ribosomal RNA". Lineage: Bacteria; Pseudomonadati; Bacteroidota; Flavobacteriia; Flavobacteriales; Flavobacteriaceae. The record is from RNAcentral.